This 374-nucleotide ribosomal RNA is filed under the name uncultured bacterium. RNAcentral describes it as "bacterial SSU rRNA". It matches the Rfam family "Bacterial small subunit ribosomal RNA", at positions 523 to 898 of the family's 1533-position model. The record is from RNAcentral.
AUACGUAUGGGGCUAGCGUUGUUCGGAAUUAUUGGGCGUAAAGGGCGUCUAGGCGGGGAAUUAAGUUGGGUGUGAAAUCCCUGGGCUCAACCCAGGAACUGCAUCCAAAACUGGUUCUCUUGAGUUCGGGAGAGGAGAGCGGAAUUCCCGGUGUAGCGGUGAAAUGCGUAGAUAUCGGGAAGAACACCAGUGGCGAAGGCGGCUCUCUGGCCUAGAACUGACGCUGAAGCGCGAAAGCGUGGGGAGCGAACGGGAUUAGAUACCCCGGUAGUCCACGCUGUAAACGUUGUGUACUAGGUGUUAGUGACUUGUUCACUAGUGCCGACGCUAACGCAUUAAGUACACCGCCUGGGGAGUACGGCCGCAAGGCUUAA